RNAcentral lists this ribosomal RNA (1123 nucleotides) under Alternaria alternata. RNAcentral describes it as "SSU rRNA". It matches the Rfam family "Eukaryotic small subunit ribosomal RNA", at positions 61 to 1177 of the family's 1831-position model. Lineage: Eukaryota; Fungi; Ascomycota; Dothideomycetes; Pleosporales; Pleosporaceae. The record is from RNAcentral.
AAGGUCAUAUCUAGUAAGCAUUAUACCGUGAAACUGCGAAUGGCUCAUUAAAUCAGUUAUCGUUUAUUUGAUAAUACCUUACUACUUGGAUAACCGUGGUAAUUCUAGAGCUAAUACAUGCUGAAAAUCCCGACUUCGGAAGGGAUGUGUUUAUUAGAUAAAAAACCAAUGCCCUUCGGGGCUUUUUGGUGAUUCAUGAUAACUUUACGGAUCGCAUAGCCUUGCGCUGGCGACGGUUCAUUCAAAUUUCUGCCCUAUCAACUUUCGAUGGUAAGGUAUUGGCUUACCAUGGUUUCAACGGGUAACGGGGAAUUAGGGUUCGAUUCCGGAGAGGGAGCCUGAGAAACGGCUACCACAUCCAAGGAAGGCAGCAGGCGCGCAAAUUACCCAAUCCCGACACGGGGAGGUAGUGACAAUAAAUACUGAUACAGGGCUCUUUUGGGUCUUGUAAUUGGAAUGAGUACAAUUUAAACCUCUUAACGAGGAACAAUUGGAGGGCAAGUCUGGUGCCAGCAGCCGCGGUAAUUCCAGCUCCAAUAGCGUAUAUUAAAGUUGUUGCAGUUAAAAAGCUCGUAGUUGAAACUUGGGCCUGGCUGGCGGGUCCGCCUCACCGCGUGCACUCGUCCGGCCGGGCCUUCCUUCUGAAGAACCUCAUGCCCUUCACUGGGCGUGCUGGGGAAUCAGGACUUUUACUUUGAAAAAAUUAGAGUGUUCAAAGCAGGCCUUUGCUCGAAUACGUUAGCAUGGAAUAAUAAAAUAGGGCGUGCGUUUCUAUUUUGUUGGUUUCUAGAGACGCCGCAAUGAUUAACAGGAACAGUCGGGGGCAUCAGUAUUCAGUUGUCAGAGGUGAAAUUCUUGGAUUUACUGAAGACUAACUACUGCGAAAGCAUUUGCCAAGGAUGUUUUCAUUAAUCAGUGAACGAAAGUUAGGGGAUCGAAGACGAUCAGAUACCGUCGUAGUCUUAACCGUAAACUAUGCCGACUAGGGAUCGGGCGAUGUUCUUUUUCUGACUCGCUCGGCACCUUACGAGAAAUCAAAGUUUUUUGGGUUCUGGGGGGGAUUAUGGGUUCGGCAAGCCUGAAACCUUGAAGGAUAUUGAACGAGAAGGAAACACACACAGGU